GUUUUUAUAUAAUUCACUGUCUCCGGCGCUGAUGUAGCAGUUGCUCGCCGGCGUCGAACACAGUCUUCUCUUUGUUGUUCCGCUCUUCUCCCAAAAAAUCAAAACAAGUCUAGUCUCAAUCUUUUCAAGCCUCUAGUCUGUCAUCUUCGUCUCCUUCCAUCUUUAAUCUCGCUGUCGCGUCUUGCCAAUUGUAGAUCUGUUAGAAUCUUUUCUCUGAAGAUCUUUGGCUCAGCGUACCGGGCCGACGUACUUUGCCUCAUUUCUGGGAGAACCAACAGCUACUUCGUUACCGGCUCAUUUUUUUCCGUUUCUUCCCUAGCCACGCGUUUCAUCUUUUCUGGUUAAAGCCGGUGGUUGUUGUUUCACCGACCUUCCUUUCGGUGAUCUCUGCCAUCUAUUGAUCUCAAUGGUUAAUGAUUUGUUCGCCUCUGUCACCCGCCGCCGUUGCAUGUUCUCGACCUCGUUUGUAUUAGGUCAGAUCCCUACUAUACAACUUUGGAAGAAGACUUUAGUUUGGGCAUGGCCCAUCUUGGGACCUUUUGGGUGGUGUAGAGGCCCGUUAAGUUUUUUGGGCUGCUUUCUUUUGGCCUGCCCUAAUGUUUUGCAAUGCUCAUUAUUUGCACCCAUCACUAUCUUGGGAGACCUUCGUCUCUCCCUUUGCUACAUGUUAUCUGCCGCCUGUUUCGGCACUCAACGGUUCAUCGGAUACUUCUCCGGGUUCCAUCUGCUUAUACCGGAUACUUCUUCGGCAAGCCCAUUUUGCUUCCGAUCGAGAACCACAUAUGUUGGUUUGGAACCCGUCAAUCUUCGGCGAAGUUUGCUCAAUAUGGAAUGAUAAGGUACACUAAGUGUAUGUUUUUUUUUAUUUGUGGUAUAUGUUUUUUUUU
This 887-nucleotide small RNA is filed under the name Arabidopsis thaliana (thale cress). Its description in RNAcentral is "ATSL096450". Lineage: Eukaryota; Viridiplantae; Streptophyta; Magnoliopsida; Brassicales; Brassicaceae. The record is from RNAcentral.